Cercophora newfieldiana is the source of this 125-nucleotide non-coding RNA. Lineage: Eukaryota; Fungi; Ascomycota; Sordariomycetes; Sordariales; Lasiosphaeriaceae. The record is from the annotation of a GenBank genome assembly.
UCCCUCGUGGCGCAAUUGGCUAGCGCGUCAGACUGUUAUCUUUCCAAGUGAUUAAUUACACAAUUAAUUACUUAAGGAGGAAAAGCGGAAUCUGGAGGCUGUAAGUUCGAUCCUUACCGAGGGAG